Acipenser ruthenus (sterlet) is the source of this 4976-nucleotide long non-coding RNA. RefSeq lists it as uncharacterized. The transcript has 2 exons. Lineage: Eukaryota; Metazoa; Chordata; Actinopteri; Acipenseriformes; Acipenseridae. The record is from RefSeq and is a predicted model, not a curated record.
AAAGCAUAUUGAAUACUAUCGCUUUCUAUAAAUUGCGUUUCAAUAAAAUACUAAAACAGGUGGACAAACCACGUUUACCACAGUUGUACAAAACACUAAACUCCUUUUUUUUUUUUUGGCUCACAAUGGAAUUACAAAACAAUCUCAAACGUUCAUUACACGUUUUCAUUACAAAGCAAGAAAGUACAUCUUCCGGGGUAACUGCAAGAUUGGGAAACGAUACAGUAGAGAGAAAAGUUUGUCUGUGAUUGGUUGUUUUCGUGGUGACGGCCUCGUUCUGACAUGCGCAUUAAGUUAUAUAACUACGGUUGUGGGGCGUCAGACUUCAUUUUGUGCUGGUGUCUGAAAGGUACUGUUGUUUUACUGCAAUCAUAUAUUCAGGUUAAUAUUGUACUUGUUUAUAUAGCACACAUUCGAAAACAAAUGCUGCAACAUUUGUAUGAACUAGGGAUUUGUCUGAAUUAAAUUGUUUAUUAUUGGUUGUGUACGGUACCCAGCUGUACAUGAUACCAAGACUGAUCAGCUACGAAAGUCUGUAUUAACUUAUUAUUGUUGCUGGAAGCGCAAGUUGAACAGCGUAAUACAUUGUAUAUACAGUAUUUAUUGUUGAAAUACAGCUGUAUCGAAAGCGGUUUUGAAAUAUUAUAUUUGUCUUUUAGUUUGUAAAAUUAAACUGCUAGCAUUUUCUACGUGUUUGGGCAAACUUGAACGUAUACUAGCCCACAAAAAGAAGAUACAAGGGACUGUACUUGGUAAUUAUGUGUAUGGACGCAAUGGAGGUUAAAAUAGAACCGAAAUUAGUCCAACCCUGCUCUUACCAGAAAAAGAGAUUCACAAAAUGGAAGUCCAGGAAGUGUUUCAGUGGCGGCGGUCAGAAAAGCUUACUAAAAUGGAAGCGUGACUCUACACAGGCAUCAAGAAAAUACCGACAACAAGGCCUCUGUCAGGCGGAGAAACACAGACACGGAAACCGAAGGCUAUUUAUCGACAACAACGGUGAUUGCAAAAACUUGCGACCCGGCAGUGACCGGACUUUUCCGGGUAUGCAAGCUCCUCAAAACACUACGCAGUAUCUUAUGCACCUUGUUUACCAGGAUCUCGUAAACGAUUCUGUUAAAGGACAGGAUUCCGAAUUUGAAAGUGUUUAUAGUCGUGUUGCAAGUGAUUUUGAUGACUCUCAAUAUAUGGGACCGGAACUGCUUUACUACGAGACUGCCUCUUCUCAAAGCACUUGCAGUCAGUCAAACAUCGAUUUGGAAAAGACUCGUGACAUUCUACGGUGCGAUUUUGAAAACAUCUUUAAUGUUUCAUGGGUCGAGAACAUUUAAGAAUUUCCAGCUGAACCGACAACCCAGCGAUUGACUUUUUCUCUUAAGACUGCGGCCAUUGAGUGAAUCUGAAGCAGCCUGUCUGCAGAGCCGUUCUCAUCCUUGCAACCUGCAGACCUCAACCUCCGGAGUCUGAGAAUUCAGAUCUGCAGUUGGUAUCUGGUGUGGUCUCCAGGUAAAUGUGCCAGCUGAGAAUACAGGUACACUGUGGCAUGUUUUUGCUGUUGAGCAAAUUGUGUAUUAUCUGUACACUUACAGAAGAGAACACAGGUGCUACAAAUGUCUGCAAAAGUUUAGUUCUCCUUAGCCACUGUGUAGAUGUACAAAGUGUCUAAGGUUAGAGCUUUUACUUGAGUCAUGAUAUUCACAGAUUAAACUUUUAUAUUUAAUUUCCUCUAGGGUCAAAGCCUUCAGAGUACACGGAGAACUUAUUUGGAAACCAGUUUGAACUAAAAUUUUGUUUUUGUUCAGGCAUCACUCUUCAGGAGGACGGAGCCUGUUGGGUCCCAUGCUGGUAAUCUCUUUAAAAUUUUAUCCUUCAAGUAGGUAAUGUUACGGUGACGCAGCAGAUCUCUAACAACUUAAAAUGGACAACCUUUUCCUGUUGGUAAGGAUAUAAUGUGGAUAAAGUGGGUUCCCUUAUAAUUGCAUGCUUGCCAUAUUGGUCAAGCUUGCUAUUGUUCAGAGAUUAGUGAUGACAUUUUCUUUUCUUUUUUUUUCUUUUAAACUUUUCAGAAAAACAGCAAGUGAAUAAGUAAUUGACUGCAAUAUGUAAUGGAAUGUGUUAUUUGUUUUAGUAUUCUUUCUAGUUGACUUCCAGGUAUCUGUUGGAAUUCAGCUGGUGUGAUGUGUUAAAGCUGUCUGCAACCAGUCAAGUUCAUCAAUAUAAAAACAAAUACAGGACAACUUAAGUAAAACAGCUGUUACAUCUACCCCCCCCCCCCCACCCCCCAGCAGAAAAUUGAUACAAAUGAUCAUUGUGACUUCACAUUGCUUGAUAAUUUGAUGCUCAUUCAGCAAACUUGGUGGGGUUAUAUAUUUAUAGAUAUUUGUCUACGACAAAUAUUUAAAUAUUGGUACAAAUUAUACUUUCGUUUGUUGAUAUUAAGUUGGACAUAUAGGGGCUAUACUUCAUGACUACCUUUCACAUACAAACAUUAUUGCUAACACUUCUACAUUUACUAACAUUAAAUGUCAAAUACCAUCUCUAUUUCAUUUAUUAACGUUAGAUGAGUAAUUAAUAAAUAUUUACAAUUGAUGUCGACAGUAGUGUAUAAAGCUGUAUUUUGACUUGUAGAUGCAAAAACAAUUAUAAACAUUAGUUAGAUCUUACACAAACUCUUUUUAUAGUGUUCAGUUAUUUAACUAAUUACUAAUCAAGUAAAAUUUAAUUGGUUUCAUAUAUUUAUGAUCUAGUCUGCCUGGAUUAGUUUAGAUGUUUUUUGAUUUUAGACAUACUUUCACAAGGAAGGGAGCUGUUUCACAUGCAUAGAGUUUUGUCUAAAUCCAGUUGCCUUGUGUUUUUAAACUCUCCAUUUACUGGUUAAAUAAGUUCAAAGUCAUUUAAGCCUUAAAACUGUCAUUUUUAAAGUACUUUGUUUUAAGUCUCAUACAAAGGCUUGCCACAACUAUAAACCAGUAUUUGUUAAUGUAUUUACUUGAAAUAAACUGUAGGGUUAGUACCUGUCAAUUAAGUUCUUGUACACACAAAGGAAUGUCACAUGACUUUUAAACUUGAGAAUUGUAGCCAUGUUUAUGCAUUCACCAACCAAUUGCAACAGUCAGCACAUACGAUCAACUAGUUUUACAGUGGAAAAAUUCUGGUUGGAACUGGCUAUAGAAAAAGCUAGUGACAAUAAGAACACUUGGUUUAAAAAAAAUAAAAAAAAAUGGAAGAAAACAUUGAGCUGUCUAAGAAGUUGAGAUGCUCUGCAAUUUGUAUUGGGUAUAUGUAACAUUUUGCUGUGAUUGAUCUAUUACAGCUGUAGGAACGGGACAGGUACCAAAAUUAUGUUUCAUUGAUGUUAAAUAAAAAAAUAUAUAUAUUUUUUUUUACCAAAAAAACUGUUUGAAUCAAUUGAGUUUUGUUUAUUUUAUUCUUUUGAAUAUGGUGCCAGCAUCUCUCCUACAGUGUUCAAAAUUGCAACUUGCCAAAAUUUGGUCUGGUUUGGGUACAUUUUACAUGCUUACAUGCUCCAGUGAUGCAUCUCUCUUUUUUUGUGAACUAAGGAAGUGGAGGUGUGGCCUCGCCCCCAGGCAGCGGUGGUGCAGCUGCAGUCCUUUUUCUCUUGCUCCCCUAUUAAUAUGAAUUAAAUGAGGCUGGCAUUUAGUGUUUCAACCAAUUAGUACCAAAUAUUGCUAUGCGAGGAUGGGAGGAGUUUAUUAUUUCAGCAUUAAGCAUUGCCCUGCAAGAGAGGGGGGGAACUAAUGUUUUUGCACGUACUUGAGGACUUGUGACCUUUUAGUAUAUUUUUCUCCUGUUGAACUGUAACUUGAUUGAGACCAUAGGCACCUAACCCAUAAAGCACAGGGGAGACAAACAAUAUAUUUUGCCACUCUACUUUUUUUGCUCUGUGUAAACACACUAUUCUAUGUUUUGUUAUGAUUUUGUCUAUAAAUGUAAAAUAAAAAAGGAAAGUCAUUAAAUAAAUAAAAACCCACAAUAAAAUACCCCCUACACAAACAUUGGUUUGACCCACCAUAGUCCGGUCUGCACUAUUUACAACAGCUAACAUUAGCAGCGGUGUGACUGCAACAGAAGAUCGUGGGCAGUUUGGAUAUUACAAAAAAUGAUUAAUUAAAUAUAGGCUAGGUAAUUGUUAGUUUAGUUUGUUUUAUUCUCUUAAUUAAAUUAUAUUCAAACUGUUAAUUAUGUAUUUUCUUUUAAGCAAGGACGUUAGGUUUGUGUUGCUGCGGGCCAUGAAUGUGUUUAAGUUCAACAACAACUCUAAAUACAAUGUUACUGCUGUUAAGUACUGGUAAUAAUCUGAAGCCGUGGUAUUGCAAAAUAACAAUGUCGUUUUUACUUCAGAAUUUUUUUUUUUUUAAACUUGUUUAUUUAUUAAUUUUCAGCUUUUAUAUUGAAGCUUGUUGUGUAUUACUUAUUAAAGCAAACCAAGUAGGAAUUUGCUUGAGACGUUUUUGAGCUCAUGUAAGCUUAUUUGUGUAUAAAUAAUUACAGUAGUUUAAUCUUACUUUAAAGGCACGCACCUGAAUGGUAAGGUGAUUAAACUGUUUGCUUAUACUCUCCCUGCCGUUCUUCGCACUGUCAGUCCUGGUUAAAGAUAUACAUAAUGUACCUGAUCUGAAGCAAGUGUAAAACUUGCCUGAAUAUUAAAAUAAAAAAUAUAUAAAUAUUUUAAAACUAGCAAGAUAAGACUUGUUGCACUAGCAGCAGUUACAUUAUUGUUUUACAUUAUUGUUUAACUCAAUUGACCAUAUUUAGAAGCAAGAACAAAGGCAAAGACACAAUUUCUUAGAGCAAUAAGACAGUUUUAAUGGUAUAUUUAAUGGUAAACAAGAAACAACUCCUUACUGGCCCUUCCUGCAACUAACUUCGUACUGUUGAAAUUGUUCUAUUCAGAAAAAAAAAGUCUUUGAAUUUGCUUCAGAGUGGUCUUUUUUAUAUAAUAAAAGUGUCUUGACAGA